ACUCCCAGCUUUUCUCUCAGCGGCACUCACUUCCCGUCUGCGAGGCAAGGCACCAAUGACAACGCGGGUGGAGCUGCGCAAAGUGCAGGUGCUGGGCCCGAACCCCAGCAAGUUCGACACCCCCAUUCGCUUGCACCUAGUGCUUGACGUGUUUGAAAAGCCACCUAAGGAUGCUAUCGACGUGACCUUCACCUGGUCGCCAGUGUGGGACUUCCCUGUAGACCAGGAGCUAGACGAGAUGGAGGUUGGCCCCUUCACAACGCUCGGCAGGCACGAGUUCACUAUUGAGAGCGAUCCCCCCAACGUGGCCGACAUCCCAGAUCCGACCGGUCCCACUGCCUUGAUCGUCUCACUCAAGUACCAGGGAGACGAAUUCCUCCACAUUGGGUACAACAUCACAGUCACCUGCGAGGGCGAUCUUCCAGAUGUCUUCACCUCAGCCGACAUGCUCACCCGCCACAUUGGUAAGUGCUACCCUAAACUGCGGGAUAUUUCCUGGGACGCACCGAGCCCGGCAACAGCCUCGCCCUCAGACUCGGACGCCGAUAGCACCUGCGAUAGCGCCGACAGCCCCUGCAAACGCGCGAAAAGAGAGAAUGAAGCGCGAUCAUAGACCUCCUCCACCGCAUCGCUUCCCGUGAAGCGCUCGUCAAUGGGUGCCGUUGCCCUGCACCCCUGUUUUAAAGCAGCUGCAUACACGGAACCGAGGACGUAAGCGGCCAGACUCUUGAGACGCGUGACUCCAUGGUCAUGAUGACUCAGAAGACUUUUUGCAACCUUGCCACCGGAUGUUUCGAAAGGCUGCCAUAACGUUUUCUGAGUUUCUCACACAACAUACGGCCACACAGCUAUCUGCAGAGGAAUACCUGUUCGUGGCAGCACCGGUGCCCUCCGAGGUUGCUGCUGAGACACUCAAGAUGUAGACUCAUAUCGUCGUCUGUUCGCCAAAAUAUCCACCGCGCGCGGGGAUGGGGGACGGAACGCAGCCCCACCUGGGUCUCAUCUCGACUACAACAAUCUUUGCUGCACAGUGGCUUUCUCUUGACGAAGCAGCAGCACGAGAAUAUGCGUGCCUACCUGACAGCGGUUCCCCAUGUUCGUUUGUUUGUUGGAGGCAGUGGCUCGCUCGGUUGAGAAGGUCCCCUGUGCCCCAAUGCCUCUACCACACAUAUCAUGCCAGCCGCGGUGGCAGACAUGAGGCACACCGGAAUUAGUGCAUCCGUGCUGUAAUCUUUUUCUAUCUUCAGCAGCGGCGUGGUCUUGUGCAAUGCGCAGAGUGACUUUGUAAUAC
Molecule: unclassified non-coding RNA, 1291 nt
Filed under: Leishmania donovani
Lineage: Eukaryota; Euglenozoa; Kinetoplastea; Trypanosomatida; Trypanosomatidae
Description: gene:LdHU3.16.0010(CDS-product:anti-silencing_pro tein_a-like_protein)
Source: RNAcentral